GCAGCUUAUACAAGUCCAGGAUGGAGCAACAGCUGUCAAUCAGUGCCUCUCUGUGCUGCCCCCCUCUCCCCAGCUGCUGGGAACUGGGGCUUGGGUGGGCAGGAUCUGAAAGCUGUGACUGCAGGGGGAUGGACCAAUCAGCUGUCAAUGCAGAGAAGGGACUGAUCAGGAAGUGGACCAAGGAGCUCUUUCUGAGCUGCUGCAUCUGUUUUCAAGAAGUCCCAGAUACUGCCUGUUAUUUGAAAAACCCUCCCAGAGGACAGAGGCUCAAAAAGAGGCAGUGUGUGGGAAAACCUGGGCAUAUGUGUCCUGCCAAUAUGCCUCAGUCGUAACCUGCAAACCUUCUACUAUGCUAGGGAUGGAGAGAGCUUGAGAAAAUUCAAAUUAAACCUGGCAGAUUCAGAUAUAGCCCCGAUGAGCACAGAGGAGUCAUACAAACCCCAACAUGUACAAUAACACACCACAUGGAGAUGCCUCAGAAGUCCUAUCCUCUCUUCUGACCAUAGAGCUUCAGUACAGGUUAUAUCUCUGAAAACUGGCACUUUCUCAUCUAGCAACAUCCGUGGUCCAGCAGGUUUGCUCCUAGACCAGAAAGCCAAGGGGCCUACGAGCAAGAGGGCCAGCCAAGGCCAGUGCAACAGAGUUGGCAGCCCGACUAGGACAGCACGAGGCUGGGGCUGGAGCCAGAGACUCUCAUCUGGGGCCAGUCAGAUCCUGACGGUGCCAGAUCAGGGAGAUCUAACCUGUAACCCCAGCCAUGGUGGCAGCACUCUGCAGAAGUCAGUGGCAAAGCAUUUCUGGGUGAAAUCCAGGCUUGGCUGAGAUCAGUGGCCAAACGCACAUUUACUUCAGUGAGGGCAGGAUUUCAUGCCUACUGAUUGGACUGUAAGAUCUUUGAGUGGGAGCUGUCUUUUUGUUCUGUUUACAUACAGCACCUAACACCAUAGGGUCCUGGUUCAUGACAGGAAUUCCUAGAAGGGUGUUAAAUAACCAAGUGUAAAGCCUUGAUUUAAAUCAUUUUCACGGUAAUAACCAUUUCCAUUUGCACUCCAAUUAUUUUCUAAAGAAGGUGUCAGGUUGUUCUCUCUCGCUCAGGUAUUUACAGGUUUGUUCUAACUUUUGAUAGUUCAUGUUUCCAUUUGGAAAGUGGUCAUUUGUGAAGGCUCAUGCAUGUAUCAAAAUAAACAUUUACAACUAGGAUACAGGGGAGAGGAAAAAAGAGGUGGUUGUCAGAGAAAAAACAAAUGGAGAACUUUAUUAAAAGUGGACUCAAGUAUGUUUCUAGUAACUGAUGUAGGGAACGUCUACACUAGCCCCCUAGUUCGAAUUAGG
This is a non-coding RNA of Pelodiscus sinensis (Chinese soft-shelled turtle), 1332 nucleotides long. Lineage: Eukaryota; Metazoa; Chordata; Testudines; Trionychidae. The record is from RefSeq and is a predicted model, not a curated record.